GGGUCAGUAGGUUGGUCGUGCCACCGGUACGUACUGGUCUCACUGAUUCCUCCUUCCUGAAGAGCCGUAAUGCCAUUAAUUUGGUGCUGCGGGGAAACAGGACUGUUACUUUGAAAAAAUUAGAGUGUUUAAAGCAAGCUAACGCUUGAAUACAUUAGCAUGGAAUAAUGAAAUAGGACGAUCGAUCCUAUUUUGUUGGUUUCUAGGAUUGACGUA
This 216-nucleotide ribosomal RNA is filed under the name Glomeromycotina sp. RNAcentral describes it as "partial small subunit ribosomal RNA". The stretch from base 92 to 216 matches the Rfam family "Eukaryotic small subunit ribosomal RNA", at positions 738 to 864 of the family's 1831-position model. The record is from RNAcentral. Lineage: Eukaryota; Fungi; Glomeromycota.